CGGCAACAGCUCAAAUUUGAAAUCCGGCCUCGGCCCGAGUUGUAAUUUGCAGAGGAAGAUUCUGGUGAGGUACCUGCUGAGUCUCCUGGAACGGAGCGCCGUAGAGGGUGAGAGCCCCGUAUAGCAGGACGCCAAGCCUUUGUGAAUCCCCUUCGAC
RNAcentral lists this ribosomal RNA (157 nucleotides) under Lasiosphaeris sp. RNAcentral describes it as "partial large subunit ribosomal RNA". It matches the Rfam family "Eukaryotic large subunit ribosomal RNA", at positions 99 to 261 of the family's 3401-position model. The record is from RNAcentral. Lineage: Eukaryota; Fungi; Ascomycota; Sordariomycetes; Sordariales; Lasiosphaeriaceae.